AUUGAACGCUAGCGGCAGGCUUAACACAUGCAAGUCGAACGAGCGGCGGACGGGUGAGUAAUAUCUCGGAAAGUGCCCAGUGGCGGGGGAUAACUACUGGAAAGGGUAGCUAAUACCGCAUACCAUUAGAGGGGCCGAGAUGGGAUUAGCUAGUUGGUGGGGUAAUGGCUCACCAAGGCCACGAUCCGUAGCUGGUUUGAGAGGAUGACCAGCCACACUGGGACUGAGACACGGCCCAGACUCCUACGGGAGGCAGCAGUGGGGAAUUUUGCACAAUGGGCGCAACCCUGAUGCAGCCAUCCCGCGUGUGUGAUGAAGGCCUUCGGGUUGUAAAGCACUUUCGGCGGGGAAGCGGUAUCUGCAGAAGAAGCACCGGCUAACUACGUGCCAGCCGCCGCGGUAAUAC
This 406-nucleotide ribosomal RNA is filed under the name uncultured bacterium. RNAcentral describes it as "partial 16S ribosomal RNA". It matches the Rfam family "Bacterial small subunit ribosomal RNA", at positions 30 to 526 of the family's 1533-position model. The record is from RNAcentral.